UCAUUCGAUGAAUACCGUUGCAAAAUGCGAUAAGUGGUGUGACAUGCAAGUCCAAAACUUAUACGUGAAUCAUCGAAUUGUUGAACGCACUGCAUCGAGCCUUACCCAGGAACGAUACGCCCCAUUGAGCGUCAUUAUGUCUUCGCGACUUGUCAUUUUCUUGGCAUGUCCGGGUUCGGGAUUCACGACCGAUAAGGUUGCGCUUCCUUAGAAACAUUAGUGCACCGGCUUUGAUGGUGACCUUGUCAUGAAUGUCGAGGUGUGCCAGUAAGAGCUGUGUGUAAGAUCUGCACCUAGCGUGCAGAUCAAGUGCAUCCGUCAUGGACGCAACUUCUCUACAUGACCUCACGGGGGUGGGACGACCCGCUAGACUUAAGCAUAUUAAUCAGCGGAGGAAAAGAAACUAACAAGGAUUCCCCUAGUAACUGCGAGUGAAGAGGGAUUAGCUCAAUGUGUGAAUCGGGCCAGGAUUAGCACUUGGCUCGAGUUGUGCACUAUAGACGGCGGAUCAGCGCUUGAAAGAUCGAGUCGGAUGUCCGAUGAAACUCGGUGCCAUUGAGGGUCAUAGUCCUGUACUUGGCUCGUCAUCUUUUGCGCAUUUGACCGACGUUCUGCGAGUCGCGUAGUUUUGUAUUGCUGCGCUAAUCGGGAGGUAGAGCCCUUCUAAAGCUAAAUAUGAUGACGUGACCGAUAGCACACAAGUACCGCGAGGGAAAGGUGAAAAGCAACCAUGCAGAAUGGGUUGAAACAGAAGUGAAAGCGCUACUGGGAUAAGGGCUGGGGAUUGCUUGUGUCGCUUGCGCGUGCUUCAGUGCUGUGCUUGUGAACGGCAUGCUUCAAUUGGGAUGGGGAGAACAGGGCCUUGGGAAUUCGGCUGGAUCCGUCCAGUGUUGUAGCCCAGGUGCCAAUGGAGCCCCUUCGGAUUGUUGAGUGUCUUGCGAUUGUCAGCCGCCCGUCUUGAAACACGGACC
Molecule: ribosomal RNA, 971 nt
Filed under: uncultured Cantharellales
Lineage: Eukaryota; Fungi; Basidiomycota; Agaricomycetes; Cantharellales
Description: eukaryotic LSU rRNA
Rfam family: Eukaryotic large subunit ribosomal RNA (bases 341-971)
Source: RNAcentral